Molecule: long non-coding RNA, 3964 nt
Filed under: Heterocephalus glaber (naked mole-rat)
Lineage: Eukaryota; Metazoa; Chordata; Mammalia; Rodentia; Bathyergidae
Description: lncRNA (ENSHGLG00100052616.1)
Source: RNAcentral
CUCCCUCCCUCACCACCCCCUGCGAGGACCUCAGGGGGCGGCCGCGCGGUGCGCGGCCCCGCGGGCUUAGCCUUCGUGACCCGCGUGCUGGCUCUGGCGUCCGGGCUCCCGGGCGUCCGCGAGAAUCCCAUUAUGUAGUUCAGGCUGACCUUGAACUCACUAUGUAACCCAGACUGUCCUCUAACCCUAGAGGAUCCUCCUGCCUCAGCCUCCCAAGUACUGGGAUUACAGGGAUGGAACUCGGGUCCUUGUGCUUGCGCAGCAGGCGGCGAAACCACUGAGCUAAAUCCCCGGCCCUGUUUAACUCUUUUGACUAAAGAUAAGUGUUAGGAUUUGAUAUUCUGGGAGGGGAAGGGGUGAAAGGAUUGUAUCCACCCAUCUUUCCCUCCCACCUGCACCUGAAGCUAGCUCUUGCACUCUAUUCUUGGUCAAAAAUGGGAGAUGAAACACUGUCCAGCAUACCCACAGCAGUAUAGAAGAAAGAACAGCAGCUGCCAAACCUGCUUCACCAAGUCACACUGCCACUAGUGGUGACCAGGACCAAGGUUUUAACACUUGAGGAGCCUUGAAUGGCAGGGCUAAAUACAACCACCUUGCCUUGUGUUAGCUAGUGGGUGUGUUUUAACAAGUUCCAUAAGUAAGCUUUUACCAUUUGAUACUUCUCAAAUUCAAAUGCAGAUACCUCUUGACUUAUGGAGUUAUGUCACCAUAACCCCAUGGUAAGAUAAAAAUAUUAAGUUAAAAUUGCAUUCAAUACUCCUAAUCUAGGGCCAGGAUUUAGCUCAGUGGUUCGGCCACCUGCCUUGUAAGCGUAAGGACCUGAGUUCAAUCCCCGGUACCAAAAAAAAAAAAAAUACACCUAAUCUAUCAAACAUUGUAACUUGGCCUAACUUUUCUUAAACAUACUCAGAGAACUUACAUCAGUUUACAGUUGGGCAAAAUUAUCUAACACAAACCUAUUUUACAAUAAAAUGUUGAAUAUCUCAUGCAAUUUAUUGAAUAUUGUACUGAAACUGAAAAACAUGGUAGUGUGGGUAGCUUUCACAUGAUCAAAUUGAAAGCUGUAAGUCAGAUCAUCAUAAGUUGGUGACUAUAUGAAAACAUCUUGAAAAUAUAUAAAAAUACUUACAAUAGCAUGCAUGUUUUACUUAUCUCUAUUCUAGUAUUUCUUGGUGCUCAACAGAUGGUCACUUUUCCUUGGCUCUAGCUGGAGUGGUUGCUUGUCUGUCACCCCACAGGCUAGGGUUGGGGAUGGCUUUCACUGCUGCUGGGCUGGGGCUGUUGCACCUUGUUUUUUUUUUUUUGGUACCAGGGAUUGAACUCGGGACCUUGUGCUUGCGAGUCAGGCGGCAAAACCACUGAGCUAAAAGUUGCACCUUGUUGAUUUCCUUAACUCUGCUCACUUCCUUCAAAGUCCAUUUAUACUUCCUAAAUGAACAUGCCUUUCCUUCCCACCUUAGAUGGUACCUGAACAGAUAUGCAUCAAGGUCUAGCCCCUCCAAUUUAAUCUGCAUGCUUUUCCUUCCGCACUCUAGUCUCUGAUACAAAUGAACCCCCUAGAAUCCACCCCCCAACUCUGAACCUUGCAUAUGCUGUUCUAACAAGACUAUUCCAUGAAGACUUCCUAGAUUUCCUUGCAUGUAGGUGUUGUUACUGAGUUUUCCACAUUGUAUCAAUUUUAUUCAUUUAUUUAUUUAUUUUUUGGGGGGUUACUGAGGAUCGAACUCAGAACCUUGCGCUUGUGAGGCAGGUGCCAGAACCACUGAGGUAAAUCCCCGGCCCUAUUUCGGUAUUUUGAAACAAGGUCUCACUAUGUAAUUCAGGGUGGCCUUAAACUUGGGAUAAUCCUCCUGCCUCAGCUUCCUAAGUGUUGAGAUUACAGGCAUGUACCACCUUGCCCAGUUGAUUUUAUUAUUUUUAUACUUUUUUCUUCUUUUGCCACAUUGUACUUGCCGCUUUGCCUUUUCAAAGCUGAAAUUCCUUGAGGCUGAACAUUGUGUCUUAAUGGUAAGUAGAUCUUUGGUGCUUAGUAUAAUAUCUCAUGCAUGGUAGAACAUCAUGAAGGAAUAACUGAAUGGAAACUGAAAAUCAAUUUUUUUCCUCCAUUGGUUCUUCUUCUAGGUUUUCUAUACUUGUAGUUUUUCUCUAAAUUUAAUCAGUUCAAAUUGAAAUUUCCUUUAUUUCAAGUAGUUAAAAUUAUAUUCUUUAUUUUUAUUUAUUUAUUUAUUUUUUGGUUCUGGGAAUCGAACUCGGGUCUUUGCGCUUCCGAGGCAGGUGGCAGAACCACUGAGCUAAAUCCCUGGCCCAAAAUUAUAUUCUUUAAUUAGUAUUUGUAUGAUAGCAUGCUUUUACCACACUGAAUACAGCAGGUAUGCUCUGGAAUGUUCAAUAAAUUUUAUAAUUGAAACAUUUAAGAUUUUAAUACAACUUCAUUUCUUAUUUAAAAUUUUAAUACAAUUUCAUUUCUUUAUUAGUAACAAAGCUUUUUUCUUUUUUGUAUAGCAAACAGUCAUUCUCCAAGUUAUUUGUUUUGGAAAUAUUACUUCUUCCUGUAUCAGAUUUACCUUAAGGUAAUUCCAGUUCUCAUGGGCUUCCUCAAGAUGUGGAUGGCAUAAAGGACACAGAUACCAAGAAGAGCUCACCAUCAUGGCUUUCCUCACGAUAGGCUGCCCUGCUUUCUCCAGAUGAGAAGAACCUGGAAUCUAACUCCAGAAGGAGAGAUGAGCAACCCAGAACCUGCUAAUGCUUAAUUGGUGAGCCACCUUUGGAAGCAGGCUACCCAGAAACAGAAGGAGGAUCACCUUGAGUUCGAGGCCAGCCUGGGCUACAUAGUGAGUUCGAGGCCAGCCUGGACUACAUACAUAGCAAGACCCUGUCUCAAAAAGACCAAAUAAAUAAUAAAUGAAUAAAUAAAUGUCUGAAUUGGAAUUCAAAAAGAAAAGAAGAAAAGUAAUUCCGUGUUGUCCCCUAAGACAUUAUAAGAUUUAACUGAAAAGAAUCAGUUGACUGUCUUUUUCUUUUUUUCUAUGAAUAGAACAGUAAGGACAAAGAUGAACAGUAGUAUUUUUCUUCUGUGCAGUUCCCUUCCAUGUUUUGGGCAGUAGAGAAAGGGAGAGGCAAAUUUCUCCCCAGUCCCUCGUUUCUCUCCCUCUAGCAGGGUGUUUUCUGUAAUUGGCUUUCCACAUUUGCCAAGAGUCUGUUUCCUCUUAACAUCCAACAUGCUUAACAGAAGCCUUGUAAUAGUUCCAAAAAUGAUAAAACCAGACCCAAGAAUAAAAUGAUACACACGACACAUUUGUUUUGGCCAUAGCUUUGGUUAAGUUCUUUUAAAUAAUUUAGGGUUAAAUGUGGUAGAAAUAAAGAUGUUUUCUUCACAGUAAUAAGACCAAAAAGAUGCAGUCAGUGACUCGUGCAGGGUUCAGGGGAGGGGUGAGUUGUCAACACAGAGGCGGGUACAGGACCCUGUGAAAAAGAAGGCACUUCAGUAUUGUGGAUCCAUGUAUGUGUAUAUGUGCCUGUGUGCAGAUGUGGGGGUACUUCUGUGUGUGUGUGUGUGCGUGUGUGUUGCUGUGCAUUGAACACAGGGCCUUAGACAUGCUAUGCAAGUGCUCUAUUGCUGAGCUGCAUUCUCAGCUCUUUAUUUUUUGGCUUUGAGACAGGAUCUUUCUAAAUUGCACAAGCUGGCCUCAAACUUGUGAUUCUCCUGCAUCAGCCUCCUGAGUGACUGGAAUUAGAGGAGCUGAAUCUGAAACUGGGGCACCUCAUAGAGGGAUCCCUGAGCACUGGGAAACCCCCACAGAAACUGAAAGUGAGCCAAGAGUUAACUUGGGUUUGCUACAAAUGGUAUAGUAAACAUCUCACAGACACAGCAAGAAGCCCAGAGGAUAAAGGGACGGGAAAUCAGGUCCAGAGGGACUGAGGAAGUUGGAAGUCCAAAACAGGUAGAAGAGCUGAGGGUACCAAU